AAUAAGCGCAACCAUAAGUAUCCGUGUCCAAUUCUGAUCGUUUGUCUUAUUUGAAAUUUUUUUAUGAUUAGUAUUUUUUAUUGUAAUUAGAUUAUAAAAUAUGAAUAGUAUUUUAUACGUGACUUAUAUUUUUUAUGUUUUUUUAAAAGAAUUGAAUAAGACAGACCAUCAAAGUUGGACACGAAAACUUAUGACUGCGUUUAUU
This is a non-coding RNA of Oryza barthii, 205 nucleotides long. NCBI's taxonomy places the organism in Eukaryota, Viridiplantae, Streptophyta, Magnoliopsida, Poales, Poaceae. The record is from Rfam.